UACGUAGGUGGCAAGCGUUGUCCGGAAUUACUGGGCGUAAAGGGCGUGUAGGCGGCUAUUUAAGUCAGGCGUGAAAACUUAGGGCUUAACCUUGAGACUGCGUUUGAAACUGGAUGGCUAGAGGAUCGGAGAGGGCAGUGGAAUUCCCAGUGUAGCGGUGAAAUGCGUAGAUAUUGGGAGGAACACCAGUGGCGACGGCGGCUGCCUGGACGACACCUGACGCUGAGGCGCGAAAGCUAGGGGAGCAAACGGG
RNAcentral lists this ribosomal RNA (253 nucleotides) under uncultured bacterium. RNAcentral describes it as "partial 16S ribosomal RNA". It matches the Rfam family "Bacterial small subunit ribosomal RNA", at positions 524 to 776 of the family's 1533-position model. The record is from RNAcentral.